GGGAUUGUAGUUUAGUGGUUAGAGCGUUGGACUAACGAUUUGAAGGUCGGGGGUUCGAUUCCCGAUCCCG
Molecule: non-coding RNA, 70 nt
Organism: Macrostomum lignano
Lineage: Eukaryota; Metazoa; Platyhelminthes; Macrostomidae
Source: Rfam